AGAUUAGUUACGUCACCGUCUAGCGCGGCACUGCCGCCAUGAACCCGGGCGAAGGGCAGGAGAGCUGACGUGGAUCGGCCGUGGCUGCAUGCAUGCACAAAGUAGGAUGACCUCUCCGCCCACCUGCUUGCGCGUGGCAUGGUCGAUCUGCGGAUCACCCUGGCUGGGAUCCGUCUGUAGCCGAAUACUGGGAAGGAUGCACAGCACCAUUUCCCAGAGUUAAUGAGGCUCCGCUUUAUUUAUGGCAAUAUUUUCAGGAUUAACCUUUGGAUAAAAGCCCUUGCUUUUCUUCAGUGGCGCCACCAACAGGCAUUCUGUGUCCUAUGAGGCAACCGGAAGGCACUAAAUCCUGCAAAUAGCCUACGAGUAUUCUUAGCAAGAACGCGACAUUUAAUCGAUUGGUUAAUAAAGAAUGAGACUUAAAACAUA
Molecule: non-coding RNA, 429 nt
Organism: Paramormyrops kingsleyae
Lineage: Eukaryota; Metazoa; Chordata; Actinopteri; Osteoglossiformes; Mormyridae
Source: RefSeq, a predicted model, not a curated record